This 352-nucleotide unclassified non-coding RNA is filed under the name soil metagenome. Its description in RNAcentral is "partial contains 5.8S ribosomal RNA, internal transcribed spacer 2, and large subunit ribosomal RNA". The stretch from base 1 to 120 matches the Rfam family "5.8S ribosomal RNA", at positions 35 to 154 of the family's 154-position model. The record is from RNAcentral.
GAUGAAGAACGUAGCGAAAUGCGAUAAGUAAUGUGAAUUGCAGAAUUCAGUGAAUCAUCGAAUCUUUGAACGCACAUUGCGCCCGCCAGUAUUCUGGCGGGCAUGCCUGUUCGAGCGUCAUUACAACCCUCAGGCCCCCGGGCCUGGCGUUGGGGAUCGGCGGAAGCCCCCUGCGGGCACAACGCCGUCCCCCAAAUACAGUGGCGGUCCCGCCGCAGCUUCCAUUGCGUAGUAGCUAACACCUCGCAACUGGAGAGCGGCGCGGCCACGCCGUAAAACACCCAACUUCUGAAUGUUGACCUUGAAUCAGGUAGGAAUACCCGCUGAACUUAAGCAUAUCAAUAGCGGAGGA